RNAcentral lists this transfer RNA (76 nucleotides) under Acidobacteriota bacterium. RNAcentral describes it as "tRNA-Asn". It matches the Rfam family "tRNA". Rfam says of the family: Transfer RNA (tRNA) molecules are approximately 80 nucleotides in length. Their secondary structure includes four short double-helical elements and three loops (D, anti-codon, and T loops). Further hydrogen bonds mediate the characteristic L-shaped molecular structure. tRNAs have two regions of fundamental functional importance: the anti-codon, which is responsible for specific mRNA codon recognition, and the 3' end, to which the tRNAs corresponding amino acid is attached (by aminoacyl-tRNA synthetases). tRNAs cope with the degeneracy of the genetic code in two manners: having more than one tRNA (with a specific anti-codon) for a particular amino acid; and 'wobble' base-pairing, i.e. permitting non-standard base-pairing at the 3rd anti-codon position. Lineage: Bacteria; Pseudomonadati; Acidobacteriota. The record is from RNAcentral.
UGGCAGAUAGCUUAAUUGGUAAAGCGUUCGAUUGUUAAUCGAGAGGAUGUUGGUUCAAAUCCGACUCUGCCAGCCA